AGCAGCAGCCGCGGGAAUACGUAGGUGGCAAGCGUUAUCCGGAAUUAUUGGGCGUAAAGCGCGCGUAGGCGGUUUUUUAAGUCUGAUGUGAAAGCCCACGGCUCAACCGUGGAGGGUCAUUGGAAACUGGAAAACUUGAGUGCAGAAGAGGAAAGUGGAAUUCCAUGUGUAGCGGUGAAAUGCGCAGAGAUAUGGAGGAACACCAGUGGCGAAGGCGACUUUCUGGUCUGUAACUGACGCUGAUGUACGAAAGCGUGGGGAUCAAACAGGAUUAGAUACCCCGGUAGUCCCUGUCUCUUAUAA
Molecule: ribosomal RNA, 303 nt
Filed under: uncultured bacterium
Lineage: Bacteria
Description: partial 16S ribosomal RNA
Rfam family: Bacterial small subunit ribosomal RNA
Source: RNAcentral